This is a long non-coding RNA of Haliotis rubra (blacklip abalone), 227 nucleotides long. RefSeq lists it as uncharacterized. The record is from RefSeq and is a predicted model, not a curated record. The transcript has 3 exons. NCBI's taxonomy places the organism in Eukaryota, Metazoa, Mollusca, Gastropoda, Lepetellida, Haliotidae.
AUAUUGUAUAUAAUUGACACCUCGUUAGUCCGAUGAUUCAGUUUCCGCCUCCGAACGCUGGUCAGUCGGAACGGAUUGGACUAAUUAAGUUGUAAACAGCCGCGUUAAUCCGAACGAUUGAAGUUAACCGCGCUGCUGACUUGUCCAAUCAAAGUGACACGUUGUUUGUUUAGCGACUUAGCGACUCAUCCCUUUGAUCCCUUUAUCAUAAUGCAUAACCAUUCCAG